GAUGAACGCUGGCGGCGUGCCUAAUACAUGCAAGUCGAGCGAACGGACGCGAAGCUUGCUUUUCUGAUGUUAGCGGCGGACGGGUGAGUAACACGUGGAUAACCUACCUAUCAGACUGGGAUAACUUCGGGACACCGGAGCUAAUACCGGAUAAUAUUUUGAACCGCAUGGUUCAAAAGUGAAAGACGGUCUUGCUGUCACUUAUAGAUGGAUCCGCGCUGCAGUAGCUAGUUGGUAAGGUAACGGCUUACCACGGCAACGAUGCAUAGCCGACCUGAGAGGGUGAUCGGCCACACUGGAACUUAGACACGGUCCAGACUCCUACGGGAGGCAGCAGUAGGGAAUCUGCCGCAGUGGGCGAAAGCCUGACGGAGCAACGCCGCGUGAGUGAUGAAGGUCUUCGGAUCGUAAAACUCUGUUAUUAGGGAAGAACAUAUUUGUAAGUAACUGUGCACAUCUUGACGGUACCUAAUCAGAAAGCCACGGCUAACUACGUG
RNAcentral lists this ribosomal RNA (497 nucleotides) under uncultured bacterium. RNAcentral's name for it is "partial 16S ribosomal RNA". It matches the Rfam family "Bacterial small subunit ribosomal RNA", at positions 28 to 507 of the family's 1533-position model. The record is from RNAcentral.